GCGAUGUCCCGCCAGGAAGGGGAAACUCAAAAAAAAAAAAAUAAAAUUAUAAAUUCUGGCUAAUUGACAAAUGUACCUUUCAUCUCCAACUUAAAGUAGUGUUUAAUUGGUAUAUUUAGAACAUUUCUUCUACAUUGCAAAUUCUUAAAUUAUAAUUAUAGGAUUAACUUGCUCUUCUUUCUACUUUUUACUUACAGACUUCUGACAGUAACUAUAAUACAAGAUCAUACUACUGUUUUAUUAGUAGCUUGUUAUAAAAGAUUACACAUACAGAGAUCAGCACUAGAAAGGUAACUGGGCUAAGAAGACAACCAAUAUUUUGGCCCUGGCCUUCCAAGGUCAACAAAGAUCCAGGACAUGACGGAACCUUUUCUAUAUUUUUUUGGUAAGUCACUCAAUCUCCUGAGCAGGGAG
Molecule: long non-coding RNA, 414 nt
Filed under: Fukomys damarensis (Damara mole-rat)
Lineage: Eukaryota; Metazoa; Chordata; Mammalia; Rodentia; Bathyergidae
Description: lncRNA (ENSFDAG00000025709.1)
Source: RNAcentral